UGAGUUAGCUAAUUAGAAAGGGAUGAGAUCAAAUUGGCCUCCUAAAGAGCUAGGAUUUCACACGUGCUAGCAUACUUAUCGAGAAUUUUGAUUGAAUCCAAAAUUUCAAUCAAUUUUUUAAAAAGAUCUUUGGUUAAUUUUUAUAUAUGUGUGACUCAUUGGAUUCCACAUCUAGCCAGCAGUCGGUUUGGGUAUAAGUUGAUCAAAUUUGAUUAGAUUUCAAUCUAAUAGAUUUAGGUCCAAUCAUGCUAAUCCG
Molecule: long non-coding RNA, 256 nt
Filed under: Elaeis guineensis (African oil palm)
Lineage: Eukaryota; Viridiplantae; Streptophyta; Magnoliopsida; Arecales; Arecaceae
Description: long non-coding RNA (EGUI_LNC054966)
Source: RNAcentral